Molecule: non-coding RNA, 107 nt
Organism: Corchorus olitorius
Lineage: Eukaryota; Viridiplantae; Streptophyta; Magnoliopsida; Malvales; Malvaceae
Source: Rfam
AUGGCAUGUUGAGGACAAUCGGCGUAAAGUUUCUUGAAUCUUUCCCAAGCUAGGUAAAAAUGCUCAUCAUUGCGUUGUCGAAAACUUGCAAUCCUUUGUCUCCCCUU